This is a non-coding RNA of Rattus norvegicus (Norway rat), 46 nucleotides long. The record is from Rfam. Lineage: Eukaryota; Metazoa; Chordata; Mammalia; Rodentia; Muridae.
AAAAAGGCUCUUUUCAGAGCCACCUUUCGUUUUCACGAAAAGUUGU